GCAGGGGUGCCGCAGUGGUCUACCGGGCUAGGUUGAGGUCCUAGUGGCUUAGUGCCUUCAGCGGUUCAAAUCCGCUCCUCUGCA
RNAcentral lists this transfer RNA (84 nucleotides) under Candidatus Iainarchaeum sp. Its description in RNAcentral is "tRNA-Leu". It matches the Rfam family "tRNA". Rfam says of the family: Transfer RNA (tRNA) molecules are approximately 80 nucleotides in length. Their secondary structure includes four short double-helical elements and three loops (D, anti-codon, and T loops). Lineage: Archaea; Nanobdellati; Candidatus Iainarchaeota; Candidatus Iainarchaeia; Candidatus Iainarchaeales; Candidatus Iainarchaeaceae. The record is from RNAcentral.